This 4941-nucleotide long non-coding RNA is filed under the name Cucumis sativus (cucumber). RNAcentral's name for it is "long non-coding RNA (CSAT_LNC002340)". The record is from RNAcentral. Lineage: Eukaryota; Viridiplantae; Streptophyta; Magnoliopsida; Cucurbitales; Cucurbitaceae.
AAAGUUUGAACAAUGUUCUUAAGGAUGCGCAUGAACUACCUGUUAUUGGCCUUCCUGAAUUUAUUCAAAGUUUGAUUCAACGAUGGUUUUAUGAACGUCGUAGUAAUUCUAGUUUCCAACGUUCAAAAUUAACCUCUUAUGCAGAAGGUGUGAUACGAGAGGCAUUAAGGGAUAGUAGGUCAAUGGAUGUGUGUAGUUUACUCGUUGUGUAUAUACUUAAUUAAUCUCUCAUACUUAUAUCUCACUAGUUUAAAUUUUUGGUAUUUUCAUUACAAAGAUAUCCCAUUAACCAACAUGAGUUUGAAGUUCAUAAUGGUACCAAAUAAUAUUUGGUCAACAUUCUCACUCGAAAUUGUUCCGGUUGUCGUUGGGAUCUUGAUGAUAUACCAUUUUCUCAUGCUUGUAGUGCCUUAUCUUUUCAAAGCCUUGGAUUGGAAUCAUAUACACAUAAUUUUUAUCACGUUUCCAAUUCAAAUUUAUUAUAUAGCAAGGAGACCCGACCAAUUGGUAAUGUGCAACAAAUUUCCAAUCUAUAUAGUUCGAAUGAUGACCCUAUACGUCCUCCUCAAGUGAAACGUCCAUCUGGAAUACCAAGAAAAAAGAUGAUCAACUCUUGCUUAGAGAAUAAGAAGACAAUACGAUGUUCUCAUUGUGGGGGUAGUGGUCAUAAUUCAAGAGCAUAUACAAAUCUAAUACCUCAUUGAGUUUGAUUAGUAUUAUUGUUAUUAUUUUUUGCACUUCUAGCUAUUGUUAUUUGUUUGGAACAUUUACUUAAGUAUUUUUUUUCACUUUUAGCUAUUAUUAUUGUUUUGGAACAUUUAUUAAGUACUUAUGAAAAAAAUUCUCAUGGAUCUUAUUAUGUUGAUUAUAUAUAUAUACUUGAAUUUUUAUUGAUGAUAUAUGUUUGCGAUAAUAAUUACACUGUAAUUGUGUGUUUACUUUUGUGUACUUUUGGAUAACAACGGUUGUUUCAAUGUUAUUUUUUCACGCCUAAUUUGUUUAUAAACAUUUGUUAUUAAUCUCAAAUUAAUUUAUAGUAGAAAGAUAACAUUGUGUACAUAAAUGAAAGUUUAAUUAGUGAUAUACCAUUAAUUGAUACCAAUGGUUCAAAGGAAUUAAAAUUAAUUCUUUUUUACAUUAAUUGGAUUCAAAGAUUUUAAAGAUAAAAUUGUUCAUUUGACUUAAUAACAUUAAUUAAAUUAUAAUUUUCAUCACUAUUUGUUUGACGUGUUAAACUACUAACUAACAUGAUUUCAAAAGUAUGUAUUUCCGAAUCAGUAUAUCCAUUUCCAAAAAAACUACAUAAAAAAGGAACAAGUUAUGUGAUAUGAUAAAGAAAUAAAACACUCAUACAGGAAGAAGAAGAGAUCAAUGUUUUCAAUUUCAAUCCAACCUCAUCAUAAAGAAAAUAUGUAUUUACUGAUCACAUCCCUUUAUGCUAGACUCAUGUGAAGAUCAAACGAUGAUGCAUUCAUGUCUACAUUUUCUUUCAAAUCUUCAAGCAACUUUUCUCUCAACGCAUCGAUCCAUAUAACUCCCAUUGAUGUGUUAGGUACUUUAUAUAAUUGUUCUGAUUUGUUAGCUUCAAGUUGUUCCUUUUGUUUUCUCAUACUCUUUAUUUCUUCUACAGUUGUACCUAACUAUUAAAAAACAAAAAAAAAAUCUUAGUACAAGUUUUAAAUUAUGUGAAGUGCAUCAAAAACUUAUAAUUAUGCUUUAAACUAUUUAGACUUACAUGUCAUAGGAUGAUUUGCGUUGACUUCAAGCUAAUGUCAACCAUACCCAAUUUUCUAUUGAUCCUUUUCUUUGAUUUGUUCGGUCUGUUGCCCCUAUUUUGGUGAAGUCCACCGACUUUAUAUUUUACUUGUCCAACGAUUGAAUCCUAAUAGUCAAUAAAUUAAAAAAAAAAUUACUAGGUAUACAUUCAUUAACUACUUCAAUAAUACAUUCAUUCAUUAGAAUCAAGAAAACUUACCUACAUUCCCAAUAGUGUUGGAUGUUGCUUGUUUCGACAAACUUUCAUAUAUCUCCUCCUCAUUAAUUGAGUUUAUGACAUUGUCAAUUAUAUCAUCUGGAUCUUCGACAUUCUAUUUCAUGACAUAAGAUUAUCAAAUAUCAUCGACUAACAAGAUCAUGUUGUAUUUUAUUACCUCGUGGCUUGUGUUUCUUCCGCCCUCUCUUUUUUAUUCUUUGUCUUCAUUAGGUUGUUCUAUUUACUGGUUCAUUAGAUUAGAAGUUGCUAUCUAGUGUUGUUUAUUUUCAUCCCCUUCAUUUUCUUCACAUAUUUUUUUGGUUGAAAUUUGUCCACCCCACAAUAUGUAUCAGCAUCUAGAUUUUUUUUCAUUCUUGUCUUUUUCUUCUUUUAUACUAUCAAGCCUCCUUUAAAUUUCAGUAACCGCCUGUUUAGAUUAUUUCAAAGGCAAUAGUAUAUAAAUAUCUUUAUUGAGUAAUAUAUGUAAUAGAACAUGUAAUUAAAAUGUUAUUAUACUACAUACCAUAAAUUGUUGGCCGUUAACCUGUUCCUUUACAUGUCAUUCUAUUUUUUCCAUCUUAUUCACCAUUAGAUUCAUUUUCUCCAUCAAUAGUUCCAUUUUCUCUUUCAAUAAGGCUUGAGUCCUCAUCAGAACACGUUGGUUUUUAUUCAACAUUUUAUUUAUCGCUUGAUUUUUGUCUAUUCUUGCUAGCAUUUCCAAUACAAGAUCAUUGUCAACUAUGUAGUGUCCCCCCUCUAUUAAUUGGUAGGUCCACUACAUUUGACUCUAAUAUACUUUUCUGAAGUUCUGCUUCAACUUCAAUGAUGAUUUUUUUUUCUUCUUCCAAGAAUGGUUCAAACCAUGGCAUUGUCAUUUCUUCUUUUGUUGCUAGAAGUGGAUAUAUUUCAAGCUAUAGGAUAACAAACAUACAAAAAAUUCAGAUUAUUGUGUACUAUUUAAAGGAUGUUGAUUAUUAAAAAAAAAUUGUCGUGUAGUACUUAAAAGAUAUAACCUUGGGUGAUUGAAAUACUUUCUUCUGCAAGUCCGUCCAUUUUGGUUGGCUAUCAGUUGCCCAAUUUAUUAUUCUUGGGAUCUUCAUUCAGACUCUUUUUGCAAAACAGUUUUGUCGUGAGGUCAAAGUGAGGAUUACUUCAUAAGCCUAUGCAACGAUUGGAAAGACAAAAUCGCCCAAUAUCAUGCCUGUAGCACCCUUGCUAGAUGUUGCUUUGUACAUUGCAUCAACUAAAAGGUCAAAGGCUAACCUACCCAAGGAUAUGUUCUAAAAAGUUCUUCAUCAUCAACCAUCAACACAUGGUCAAUGUCUACAUAUACACUAUCCUGUUUAGGUAAAAGGAAACUCUUCAAAAACUAUAAUUGAGUCAUUUUUAACCUAUCACUAUCAGUCAACCUUGAACCCUACAUUGAUAUAUAUCCUCAUUAGUUUGCUUUCUCCAUCAAAAUACAUGUCUUUUAUAUAACCCCCCUCCCCCCUCUCAAUAUCAUCUUUGGUUAUCUUUGGUAAAGGUCCACAAUUAGGCCCCGUUAUUAAAGCAAAUUCUCUAAGACCGAAUCUUAUGACUCUUCCUCCUAUUAAGAAGUUUAAUUCUUUGGAAGAUUUUGAUUUGUAUUGUUUUUGUAUCAGAUGCAUCAAUAAUUGUGAGGAUUGAUUGGUAAUCGCAAAGUCAAGGAAGUGUCCAAAAGGUGUUUCCCUAAAUUUUUCUAAGAGAUUAUCACCUAGUUUUUUCUUAAUUUUUUCAAUUACUUCUAACUUAGUUUCAAGGUUUAUUCUCAAUAGUCCAUUUCGCUUUUGGAUUGGCAUAAGGUAUAAUCCAUCCUAAGACAAUAAAAAUACAUAAUGAAUAUGCAACCAGUCACAACACAAAUAUAUGCACUUCAAAUAAUUAAUCUAUAAUUAUGCGACCAGUUACAACACAAACAAAUUUGGUAUGCAACUAGUCACAACACAAAUAUAUGCAGUUCUUCUAUUUAUACAGCCAGUCACAAAAAAAUAUAUGCAAUUCAAUAAUAAUCUAUAAUUAUGCAGUUAUUCACAACAUAAAAACAUAUUCAGUUUUUUAUUUAGCCAACACAAAUACAUGCAGUAAAGAAUAAUUAAUCUACAAUUAUUUAGCCAAGAAAUAUAUAAAGAAGGCAUUUGUAUGUAUUACAAACCUCACUUCUUUCUCCAGUACUAACAACUUUUUCUGAAGCAUGUUUAGUCUUCCUUGAUCUUGCCUUCAAGGUUGAACAUUGUAUUAACUUUUACACACAUCCAUUUUAUAAAGAAUAAAAAGAAACGCUACCUUUUUUUUCUUCAACAAUUGGUGUCUUAGGUUGUUUUGAAGUAAUUUCUUCGUGGCUUUCUGAGUACUGUUCACAAAUCUCUUCUCUUUCUUUUUGUUCUUUCUCUUAUGUAUUAUCUUCAAUAUAUUCAACCUUGUUACUGCGAUCCUGCAUUUUAAAUAAUUUCAUUUAAAUUAUAUUAUACUGAAAAUAUUGAUAGAACUAAGACAUGCAAAAAAGAAUCGAAUUUCUACCCUAAUUGUCACAAUUAACAAGUAACCCUAAACUAAUCAAAUUAGGGUUUUAGGAAAUAUUACCUUUGAAGCUUUCAAAAACUUUGAUACCUCCUUAGCAAUUCAAACCGAGACGACCACUAGUGCUCAACUACUAUCCUCCGGACAAAGACCCGGGUUGUGGGACCCAAUUUGAUGUAGAAAGUAAUGGAGAUAAAAGAAACUUGGAAGGUAGAAGUUUUUUUUUCUUGGUUGAGAUAUUGGAGUAUAUUAAAAAAGGCAAAAGUUUUCAACCAUUUGAAAACUCCCCUAUUUAUAACCUAAUUAUCUGCAAAAAUGCAUGUAAUUAAUUUGCCAAAUCUCAACACUUAAUGUUCCACUAACAAUUAGUGGAACUUAGUGGACUAGGUGUCUAUAUCUCAUAUAGCCACAUAUCCCACUAAGAGUUAGUG